Molecule: ribosomal RNA, 223 nt
Filed under: uncultured bacterium
Lineage: Bacteria
Description: partial 16S ribosomal RNA
Rfam family: Bacterial small subunit ribosomal RNA
Source: RNAcentral
GAUCCUGGCUCAGGAUGAACGCUGGCGGCGUGCCUAAUACAUGCAAGUCGAACGCUUCACUUCGGUGAAGAGUGGCGAACGGGUGAGUAAUACAUAAGUAACCUGGCAUCUACAGGGGGAUAACUGAUGGAAACGUCAGCUAAGACCGCAUAGGUGUAGAGAUCGCAUGAACUCUAUAUGAAAAGUGCUACGGGACUGGUAGAUGAUGGACUUAUGCGCAUAU